RNAcentral lists this ribosomal RNA (442 nucleotides) under uncultured bacterium. RNAcentral describes it as "partial 16S ribosomal RNA". It matches the Rfam family "Bacterial small subunit ribosomal RNA", at positions 338 to 795 of the family's 1533-position model. The record is from RNAcentral.
CCUACGGGUGGCAGCAGUGGGGAAUAUUGGGCAAUGGACGCAAGUCUGACCCAGCAACGCCGCGUGAAGGAAGAAGGCUUUCGGGGUGUAACAUUCUUUUAAGGGGGAAGAGCAGAAGACGGUACGCCGUGAAUAAGCCACGACGAACUACGUGCCAGCAGGCGCGGUAAUACGUAGGUGGCAAGCUUUUUCCGGAUUUACUGGGUGUAAAGGGCGUGCAGCCGGAGAGACAAGUCAGAUGGUAAAUCCACGGGCUCAACCCGUGAACUGCCUUUGAAACUGUUUCCCUUGAGUGUCGGAGAGGUAAUCGGAAUUCCUGGUGUAGCGGUGAAAUGCGUAGAUAUUAGGCAGAACACCAGUGGCGAAGGCGGAUUACUGGACGAUAACUGACGGUGAGGCGCGAAAGCGUGGGGAGCAAACAGGAUUAGAUACCCUAGUAGUC